RNAcentral lists this ribosomal RNA (404 nucleotides) under Fusobacteriota bacterium. RNAcentral describes it as "Fusobacteria bacterium partial 16S ribosomal RNA". It matches the Rfam family "Bacterial small subunit ribosomal RNA", at positions 355 to 776 of the family's 1533-position model. The record is from RNAcentral. Lineage: Bacteria; Fusobacteriati; Fusobacteriota.
UGGGGAAUAUUGCACAAUGGAGGGAACUCUGAUGCAGCGACGCCGCGUGAGUGAUGAAGGAAUUCGUUUCGUAAAACUCUGUUCUAUGGGAAGAAAAGGACUGUACCAUAGGAGAAAGCUCCGGCUAAAUACGUGCCAGCAGCCGCGGUAAUACGUAUGGAGCGAGCGUUGUCCGGAAUUAUUGGGCGUAAAGGGUGCGCAGGCGGCUUUACAAGUUGGAUGUGAAAUAUUGUGGCUCAACCACAAACGUGCAUCCAAAACUGCAAAGCUUGAGUUAAGGAGAGGUAAGUUGAAUUCCUGGUGUAGCGGUGGAAUGCGUAGAUAUCAGGAGGAAUACCGGUGGCGAAGGCGACUUACUGGACUUAAACUGACGCUCAGGCACGAAAGCGUGGGGAGCAAACAGG